AAAAGUAAACAGAAUCUACCCUCAAAUGGCUCCUUAAGCCAGUUGAGGGUAGAUGAAAACAUUACAUGAUCAAAUAAUGUAGGUUGAAGUCAGGUUUUGUAUUUGGUUGGUUAACCAAUAAAUGUUAUAACUACCCGAAAA
Molecule: long non-coding RNA, 141 nt
Organism: Cydia splendana
Lineage: Eukaryota; Metazoa; Arthropoda; Insecta; Lepidoptera; Tortricidae
Exons: 2
Source: RefSeq, a predicted model, not a curated record